Molecule: ribosomal RNA, 521 nt
Filed under: uncultured bacterium
Lineage: Bacteria
Description: bacterial SSU rRNA
Rfam family: Bacterial small subunit ribosomal RNA
Source: RNAcentral
GCUAAUACCGCAUAUGACCACAACACGGCAUCGAUGAAGGGGUAAAAGAUUUAUCGGAUAAAGAUCGGCUCGCGUAUCAUUAGCUUGUUGGUGGGGUAACGGCCUACCAAGGCAAGGAUGAUUAACCGGCCUGAGAGGGUGAACGGUCACACUGGAACUGAGACACGGUCCAGACUCCUACGGGAGGCAGCAGUCGGGAAUAUUGGGCAAUGGAGGCAACUCUGACCCAGCAACGCCGCGUGAAUGAAGAAGGUUUUCGGAUUGUAAAGUUCUUUUAUUGGGGAAGAAAAAAAUGACGGUACCCAAUGAAUAAGCCCCGGCUAACUACGUGCCAGCAGCCGCGGUAAUACGUAGGGGGCAAGCGUUGUCCGGAAUGACUGGGCGUAAAGGGUGCGUAGACGGCGAUUUGCGUCGUAUGUGAAAGCCCGGGGCUUAACCCCGGAACUGCAUACGAUACGGGAUUGCUUGAAUGUGGGAGAGGUUCGUGGAAUUUGUGGUGUAGCGGUAGAAUGCGUAGAUAU